AUGGCCUUGUCUGGGAGCUUAGCUCUAGCGCUCCUCUUCAGCCUCCUCUCCUGCUAUGCAUCCGUCCCUUCCCUAGCUUCCUCCGACGGCUUCAUCCAAUGCCUCUCGGCGGCCAUACCCAGGCAGCUGUUGUACACGCAGAGCUCGCCUUCGUUCACCUCGGUCCUGGUGUCCUCCAUCCGGAACCCCAAGUUCUCGACCCCUGGCACGGUGAGGCUGCUCUGCAUCGUCACGCCGACCAACGCCUCCCACGUCCAGGCCGCCGUCGUCUGCGGCCGUCGGAACGACGUGCGCAUCCGCGUGCGCAGCGGCGGGCACGACUACGAGGGCCUCUCGUACCGGUCCGCGCGCCCCGAGGUGUUCGCCGUGGUCGACCUGGCCAACCUCCGCUCCGUGCGCGUCGACCAGAAGGCGGCCACCGCGUGGGUGGACUCCGGCGCGACGCUCGGGGGGCUGUACUACGCCGUCUCGAAGGCGAGCUCGCAGCUGGCUUUCCCGGCCGGCCUGUGCCCGACGAUCGGCGUGGGCGGCCAUUUCAGCGGCGGCGGGUUCGGCAUGCUGCUGCGCAAGUACGGCGUCGCCAUCGACAACGUCCUGGACGCCACGCUUGUCGACGCCAAUGGGCGGAUCCUGGACAAGCAGGCCAUGGGGGCGGACGUGUUCUGGGCCAUCCGCGGCGGCGGCGGCGAGAGCUUCGGCAUCGUGCUCUCGUGGCAGAAACAGGCAGCCAACUUCGAGUCCAUGUACCUGGGGACGCCCGACACGCUGCUGCCGCUGAUGCGCAGCCGCUUCCCGGAGCUCGGGCUCAACCGGACGCACUGCAAGGAGAUGACGUGGAUCCAGUCCGCCAUCCCCAAGGACGUGUGGGUGAAGAUCUUCGCCUGGCUCGGCAAGCCGGACGCCGGGCUGAUGAUCAUGGACCCUUACGGCGGGAAGAUCGGCAGCCCACCGGAGUCGGCGACGCCGUUCCCGCACCGUGGCGGCGUGCUGUACAACAUCCAGUACAUGAAUUUCUGGUCGGCCGCCACGGACGGAUCGGCGCAGACGAGGUGGCUCAAGGAUUUGUACGCCUUCAUGGGGCCGUACGUGAGCAAGAACCCCAGGGAGGCGUACGCGAACUACAGGGACCUUGACCUGGGCCAGAAUGUGGUUGUGGGGAACGUCACCAGCUACGAGGCCGGUAAGGUUUGGGGCGAGAAGUACUACAAGGGUAACUUCCAGAGGCUGGCGACGGCGAAGAGCAAGGUGGAUCCUGACGACUACUUCAGGAACGAGCAGAGCAUCCCACCGCUACCGGCAACGAAGUGA
RNAcentral lists this ribosomal RNA (1308 nucleotides) under Triticum aestivum (bread wheat). Its description in RNAcentral is "partial small subunit ribosomal RNA". The record is from RNAcentral. Lineage: Eukaryota; Viridiplantae; Streptophyta; Magnoliopsida; Poales; Poaceae.